This 200-nucleotide unclassified non-coding RNA is filed under the name Nectria sp. (in: ascomycete fungi). RNAcentral's name for it is "Nectria sp. (in: Fungi) partial internal transcribed spacer 2". The record is from RNAcentral. Lineage: Eukaryota; Fungi; Ascomycota; Sordariomycetes; Hypocreales; Nectriaceae.
UUAAGUUCAGCGGGUAUUCCUACCUGAUCCGAGGUCAAACUUUCAGAAGUGGGGGGUUUAACGGCGUGGCCGCGCUGCGAUCCAGUGCGAGUGUUGCUACUACGCAGAGGAAGCUACAGCGAGCCCGCCACUGGUUUCAGGGCCUGCGCAGCCGCAGGUCCCCAACACAAGCCGGGGGCUUGAUGGUUGAAAUGACGCUC